GAGUUUGAUCGUGGCUCAGGAUGAACGCUAGCGGCAGGCUUAACACAUGCAAGUCGAGGGGCAGCGCGGGUAGCAAUACCUGGCGGCGACCGGCAAACGGGUGCGGAACACGUACUGAACUUACCUUGAUCUGGGGCAUAGCCCGGAGAAAUCCGGAUUAACUCCCCAUAACAUAUAUGAGUGGCACCACUUGAAUAUUAAAAAUUUAUUGGAUCGAGAUGGCAGUGCGUCCCAUUAGCUAGUUGGUAGGGUAACGGCCUACCAAGGCGACGAUGGGUAGCUGGUGUGAGAGCACGACCAGCCACACGGGCACUGAGACACGGGCCCGACUCCUACGGGAGGCAGCAGUGAGGAAUAUUGGUCAAUGGACGCAAGUCUGAACCAGCCAUGCCGCGUGAAGGAUGAAGGCCUUCUGGGUUGUAAACUUCUUUUACCUGGGAAGAACCUCAGUUUUCUAACUGAGUUGACGGUACCAGAGGAAUAAGCACCGGCUAACUCCGUGCCAGCCGCCGCCGUAAU
This 519-nucleotide ribosomal RNA is filed under the name uncultured Sphingobacterium sp. RNAcentral's name for it is "bacterial SSU rRNA". It matches the Rfam family "Bacterial small subunit ribosomal RNA", at positions 9 to 524 of the family's 1533-position model. The record is from RNAcentral. Lineage: Bacteria; Pseudomonadati; Bacteroidota; Sphingobacteriia; Sphingobacteriales; Sphingobacteriaceae.